GGACAAAGCACAUUUGCAGAGCAGCCGAAUACAAAUUUCCAGACCCAAUUCCCGCAUUUGCUGAUACCGAGACUGAGAAAUUUUGGACCCAUCUCCAUAAGAAGCUCUCGAAGAAAUACAUAUAUGGAGAUUCGGUUGAAGAGGUGGUUGGAAUCUGCACUGAGAGAUACUCAAUACCUUCUUGCACACAGACUGUGGCGGUCCUGGAACACUCUUGUUGAUGCCUUUCAUUGACAUGGCUGAUACCAUAAUGAGCAAGGUUUGCCUGGAGGACUACAAGCUGCACGUGCAGCAGUAAAAUGGGCCCAAGAUCACGUUGACAAAGACUGGAAAGAGUGGACUGGUGGUGAUAGUAAUUGACAGAAUAACUCCCUAAUCAUCAAUGUAGUGCGAGAUUCUGUUUAGUUGUUGUCAUGUCAAUUGAAAAAGAUCAUCGAACGGUUUUAAUUCUAUUUGUGUGUCUCUGAAGGAAGUGAUGAUGAAAGAAAACUGAAAUUUGAGCAUGUUUUGUGGAGUGGAGGGAAUGUGUAUCUGUACUCGUCUCAUGAACCUUAUCAUGAGAUUGUAUAUUGUCCUCUCAUUCGAUGGAAUUUAGAAGAAGCAAGGUUAGAAGGUUAAGCAG
This 622-nucleotide unclassified non-coding RNA is filed under the name Hevea brasiliensis (rubber tree). The record is from RNAcentral. Lineage: Eukaryota; Viridiplantae; Streptophyta; Magnoliopsida; Malpighiales; Euphorbiaceae.